Non-coding RNA from Schistosoma haematobium, 46 nucleotides. NCBI's taxonomy places the organism in Eukaryota, Metazoa, Platyhelminthes, Trematoda, Strigeidida, Schistosomatidae. The record is from Rfam.
UUACUGCUGAGUAGUCCCACAACAGGACGAAACGGCCGUCCAGUGC